UUGAACGCUGGCGGCAGGCCUAACACAUGCAAGUCGAGCGGAUGAAGGGAGCUUGCUCCUGGAUUCAGCGGCGGACGGGUGAGUAAUGCCUAGGAAUCUGCCUGGUAGUGGGGGAUAACGUCCGGAAACGGGCGCUAAUACCGCAUACGUCCUGAGGGAGAAAGUGGGGGAUCUUCGGACCUCACGCUGUCAGAUGAGCCUAGGUCGGAUUAGCUAGUUGGUGGGGUAAAGGCCUACCAAGGCGACGAUCCGUAACUGGUCUGAGAGGAUGAUCAGUCACACUGGAACUGAGACACGGUCCAGACUCCUACGGGAGGCAGCAGUGGGGAAUAUUGGACAAUGGGCGAAAGCCUGAUCCAGCCAUGCCGCGUGUGUGAAGAAGGUCUUCGGAUUGUAAAGCACUUUAAGUUGGGAGGAAGGGCAGUAAGUUAAUACCUUGCUGUUUUGACGUUACCAACAGAAUAAGCACCGGCUAACUUCGUG
RNAcentral lists this ribosomal RNA (483 nucleotides) under uncultured bacterium. RNAcentral's name for it is "partial 16S ribosomal RNA". It matches the Rfam family "Bacterial small subunit ribosomal RNA", at positions 30 to 507 of the family's 1533-position model. The record is from RNAcentral.